CCCAUCGGUGCUGGCUCUCCCUGUGGCGCUGAACGGAACCAGGACCCUCCCUCACCUGCUCCGUGGGGGCCGCCUGCUCCCAUCGCCCCUCCUGGUACAACCAAACGUGGCAGAGCCCAGAGCAAACCCCAGGCAGGGCUGGGCUGACCGAGCUGCAAAUAUCCCCGUCCCAGCUGGACCCUGGCGCGGCGCCUGAGAUACCAGGUGGAUGGAUACAGGGAUGAGUGUGACUCUGCCCAAUCCCAGCCCCUGGGGACAGGUGAGCUCUGCUGCUACACAUGGCAUGGGUAGAGCAGGGGGGGUAGGAGCCAGGAUGCCUGGGUUCUAUUCUUGAGACGAGGAGAGGAGGAGGGACUAAUGGUUAGAGCAGGGAGUCAGGAUUCCUGGCUUUUAUCCCCAACUCUGGGAGAGGGGUGGAUCUGUGGGUGAGAGCAGGUGGGGGUUGGGAAUCAGGACUCCUGGGUUCUAUUCCCUCAAAAACUGUCAUCUGGCUCUAGCAAAUAUUCUUGCCCUGUGGGACUGGAUGGGGAGGGACCUGCCCCUUCGUUCACUCCUAGGGCCCCACUGACAAACUCACCUGACUCUCGCCCUCAACAUGCCCAGGGUCGAGGUUUCAUGGCCGGCAGGGAAGGCAGUGCUAAGGGAAGGUGCCAAUUUUACCCUGCGCUGCCAGGCUGCUGCCCUGCGGCCCGUCGCCGGGUACGUCUGGUCCCGCGGGGACGUGUGGCUGCCAGAAGCCGGGCAGGAUUUACGUGUUGACAAGGCAGCCGUCUCCGAUGGAGGGAGCUACGCAUGCGGAGUCUGGGUCUCCGGCCCCGGCUGGGGGUAUCUGAGCCUCUCUGCGAGGGAAUCGGUCGAAGUUCAGCUCACCCACCCUGUUUGGGCUCCGAAGUACAUCAUAGGACCGACAGCUGCUCUUGUCCUAUUGCUGCUACUGGGGCUGGUCGGUGUUAUGGCUUGGAGGUAUUUGCGCUUUGGCAAACCGGUAAUAGCCACGUCUCUGAUCUCUGGCAAUCCCCAGCUCCUUCCGUCUGGCCUUUGCCGGAGAACCCCGAGCAAUCCAGGACUGAGAAUUGCUGAGCCAAUUCAGAUGCAUUGA
This 1099-nucleotide long non-coding RNA is filed under the name Gopherus evgoodei (Goodes thornscrub tortoise). Its description in RNAcentral is "lncRNA (ENSGEVG00005012637.1)". The record is from RNAcentral. Lineage: Eukaryota; Metazoa; Chordata; Testudines; Testudinidae.